RNAcentral lists this transfer RNA (73 nucleotides) under Ovis aries (sheep). RNAcentral describes it as "tRNA-Trp (CCA) (tRNA-Trp-CCA-18-1)". It matches the Rfam family "tRNA". Rfam says of the family: Transfer RNA (tRNA) molecules are approximately 80 nucleotides in length. Their secondary structure includes four short double-helical elements and three loops (D, anti-codon, and T loops). The record is from Rfam by way of RNAcentral. Lineage: Eukaryota; Metazoa; Chordata; Mammalia; Artiodactyla; Bovidae.
UCCCUGGUGGUCUAGUGGCUAAGACUCCAUGCUCCCAAUGCAGGGGGCCCAGGUUUGAUUCCUGGUCAGGGAA